Molecule: ribosomal RNA, 253 nt
Filed under: uncultured bacterium
Lineage: Bacteria
Description: partial 16S ribosomal RNA
Rfam family: Bacterial small subunit ribosomal RNA
Source: RNAcentral
UACGUAGGGUGCGAGCGUUAAUCGGAAUUACUGGGCGUAAAGCGUGCGCAGGCGGUUUUGCAAGCCGGAUGUGAAAUCCCCGGGCUUAACCUGGGAAUGGCAUUUGGGACUGCAAGGCUGGAGUGCGGCAGAGGAGACUGGAAUUCCUGGUGUAGCAGUGAAAUGCGUAGAUAUCAGGAGGAACACCGGUGGCGAAGGCGGUUCUCUGGGCAUUACCUGACGCUGAGGAGCGAAAGUGUGGGGAGCGAACAGG